This 437-nucleotide long non-coding RNA is filed under the name Struthio camelus australis. Its description in RNAcentral is "lncRNA (ENSSCUG00000006509.1)". The record is from RNAcentral. Lineage: Eukaryota; Metazoa; Chordata; Aves; Struthioniformes; Struthionidae.
UGAAGCCCCAGAACGCACAGACCCAAUCUGGAAUUGCCAACUUUGUGCUCGUUCCAUACUUUCCAAUUUCCCUGGGCAGUUUUAUUUCUCUGCUUCUCUUGAUAUCUGAAGAUGCAAGGAAAAGUGACAGCAAAAGAAGGCCAAUACACAGAGACGGGAGUUUCUGGAGAACAGGAGAUGGACGGGGCCAUGGGAGACAGGAAGAGAUGUGAGAAAUAAAAAAAUGGGUUUGUUUUAUGCAAACAACAAGCUAUAUUUCCCAUCUGGAAGCGUUUCUUCUGUUGACUGAGACACAAAGAUUGACUCUGAGACUAUGGGCUUCAUUCCCUUUCCUCUAGAAUUAUUUUUCUCUGCAGGAAAAAUCCUAUAGGAAAGGUGAAAAUAGACUUCAAUGAAAAGCCAAUAAAAUCAUCCAAAAACACCUUUAGAAUUGAGGU